This 497-nucleotide ribosomal RNA is filed under the name uncultured bacterium. Its description in RNAcentral is "partial 16S ribosomal RNA". It matches the Rfam family "Bacterial small subunit ribosomal RNA", at positions 28 to 507 of the family's 1533-position model. The record is from RNAcentral.
GAUGAACGCUGGCGGCGUGCCUAAUACAUGCAAGUCGAGCGAACAGACGAGGAGCUUGCUCCUCUGACGUUAGCGGCGGACGGGUGAGUAACACGUGGAUAACCUACCUAUAAGACUGGGAUAACUUCGGGAAACCGGAGCUAAUACCGGAUAAUAUAUUGAACCGCAUGGUUCAAUAGUGAAAGACGGUUUUGCUGUCACUUAUAGAUGGAUCCGCGCCGCAUUAGCUAGUUGGUAAGGUAACGGCUUACCAAGGCAACGAUGCGUAGCCGACCUGAGAGGGUGAUCGGCAACACUGGAACGAAGACACGGUCCAGACUCCUACGGGAGGCAGCAGUAGGGAAUCUUCCGCAAUGGGCGAAAGCCUGACGGAGCAACGCCGCGUGAGUGAUGAAGGUCUUCGGAUCGUAAAACUCUGUUAUUAGGGAAGAACAAAUGUGUAAGUAACUAUGCACGUCUUGACGGUACCUAAUCAGAAAGCCACGGCUAACUACGUG